RNAcentral lists this ribosomal RNA (924 nucleotides) under Mesobacillus subterraneus. RNAcentral's name for it is "bacterial SSU rRNA". It matches the Rfam family "Bacterial small subunit ribosomal RNA", at positions 38 to 943 of the family's 1533-position model. The record is from RNAcentral. Lineage: Bacteria; Bacillati; Bacillota; Bacilli; Caryophanales; Bacillaceae.
GGUGGCCCAGUGCUAGUUCUGCGCUCCGAGCGGAUCUUCAUUAGCUUGCUUUUGAAGAUCAGCGGCGGACGGGUGAGUAACACGUGGGCAACCUGCCUGUAAGACUGGGAUAACUUCGGGAAACCGGAGCUAAUACCGGAUAAUCCUUUCCCUCUCAUGAGGGAAAGCUGAAAGACGGUUUCGGCUGUCACUUACAGAUGGGCCCGCGGCGCAUUAGCUAGUUGGUGAGGUAACGGCUCACCAAGGCGACGAUGCGUAGCCGACCUGAGAGGGUGAUCGGCCACACUGGGACUGAGACACGGCCCAGACUCCUACGGGAGGCAGCAGUAGGGAAUCUUCCGCAAUGGACGAAAGUCUGACGGAGCAACGCCGCGUGAGCGAUGAAGGCCUUCGGGUCGUAAAGCUCUGUUGUCAGGGAAGAACAAGUAUCGGAGUAACUGCCGGUACCUUGACGGUACCUGACCAGAAAGCCACGGCUAACUACGUGCCAGCAGCCGCGGUAAUACGUAGGUGGCAAGCGUUGUCCGGAAUUAUUGGGCGUAAAGCGCGCGCAGGCGGUUCCUUAAGUCUGAUGUGAAAGCCCCCGGCUCAACCGGGGAGGGUCAUUGGAAACUGGGGAACUUGAGUGCAGAAGAGGAGAGCGGAAUUCCACGUGUAGCGGUGAAAUGCGUAGAGAUGUGGAGGAACACCAGUGGCGAAGGCGGCUCUCUGGUCUGUAACUGACGCUGAGGCGCGAAAGCGUGGGGAGCGAACAGGAUUAGAUACCCUGGUAGUCCACGCCGUAAACGAUGAGUGCUAAGUGUUAGAGGGUUUCCGCCCUUUAGUGCUGCAGCAAACGCAUUAAGCACUCCGCCUGGGGAGUACGGCCGCAAGGCUGAAACUCAAAGGAAUUGACGGGGGCCCGCACAAGCGGUGGAGCAUGUG